Molecule: RNA transcript, 10276 nt
Organism: Ctenopharyngodon idella (grass carp)
Lineage: Eukaryota; Metazoa; Chordata; Actinopteri; Cypriniformes; Xenocyprididae
Gene name: interleukin-21 receptor
Exons: 28
Source: RefSeq, a predicted model, not a curated record
CGGGCCCUUGUAUAAUAUUCAAAACAUUUUUUUUUUAAUGCAGUGCUGUAUGCUAGAGCAUUUUUUUUUUUUUUUUUUUUAAUAUUUUACAGUACUCAGACCAAAAUAUAAAAUGUCACAUUAUCACUGCUUUUUCUUUCUUUCAUUUUUUCUUUUUUUUUUUUUUCUUACCCAUGUCAAGCUAUGAUUUAUCUGUUUUCUGCUAUAUUGACCCUCCAAAAAGAGAUUCUGAUGACACUGCACAUUUAUCCAGCCCCUGAUGGCAACACCUACACAACAGGAACUAUCCUUAAUUGGCUUCAUUCGGGGCGGAACAUCUGCAAAUAGGCUCCUGUUUUAUAACCACAACCACAUCCUUCAUGUCAUACUUUCGUCACAAGCACUCUGACUGUGCAUGUAGAUCAGUAGAAGAUUGGCAUAACGUAAAUGUCAGGGGGAUUUAUGCAAUGUAUAAAUGGUGUUUGAUUGAGAACUGCAGAUUUUUAUAUUUUCACCAACAUUUUAUAUUUUUGUAAACGGGGUCAAUGGGAAUAUUAUCAAGUUUGCAUGUGGGCUCUGUACAAUGCAUUUGAGCAGGCUUGACCACAGUUCCUGUCAUUGUUUCUCCACGAUGGCUCUAUGGCAAGCCAUAUUCUUGCUUGUUGUUUGUGGACUUAUUGAGUGCAAUGACGGCGUUUGCAAUGUGACCUGCACCACAGACUUCAUCUCCAAGCUGAACUGCUCUAAUUCUGACUUGGCAGGAUCAGCUUCAUGUAAUGUUGUGGCAAAUUGCAGGGAUGAAUUUUCUGUUGUGAUUGGGAACUGCAGUAUCAUAUCGCCACAAUCCUGGUGCACAAUGGAACCAGAGGAGCUGGAUAUGAUAAUGUCCUUUGAUACCAACUGUUCCAUCAUAGUAACGCAAAUGGACAAACAAGGCAAUGCGGAGAUCCCGACAAAGAGUUACUCUGAAACAAUCCUUUUAUACAGAUCUAUUAAGCUAAAGCAACCUUUCAACCUAAACAUUGCAAAAAUUGACAGGGGUUUCAAUCUCACUUGGGAUGUGGAUUAUAAAGGGGAAGAUCUGUAUAAAGAUUUAUACUACAAAGUACGAUUACAAAUUAAAAAUGACCUGGAUAAGAAGGAGCAAAUUUACACCCUGCAGCAGAACCGACAAUCCAUGGUUAUCCUCAGUGAAAAUCUUCUGCCAGGGAGGCAGUAUGCAGCAGACAUUCAGGUUGCCGUACAUCCGAAGGUGUUUGAAUCCAUGUGGAGUGAAUGGAGCAACAGCGUUGAAUGGACAUCUGACUCUUCAGAGACAGAGCAGUACUAUUUCCUGCUGCUGGCACUUCCUGUUGUGGCAGUGGUGCUACUUGUGUACAGUGGGAAACUAGGGAGCAUCAAAAAGCCGACUUUAUGGCAGCACAUCCCAAGCCCCCAUGAGUACUUCACACCGCUCUACCAUACAUAUCAAGGAGACUUUAAGAGAUGGGUCGGACCAGUCCUGACCUUCAAUAACUUCGAUUUCCAAGAGAAGAGCACCACUUUACAGGUGCUUUGUGAGAAGCAGCAGAAUGAAAGCUCUGAGGAACCUGGCAACGGUAGGAGCGGUGAACGGGACUUUGGUCUGUCGGGUCAAAACUCAUCAAAACUCUACUUCCUUGGAAGCAACAGUCACAGUGUCGCACACUCCGGUGGCCACAUAUCGAUGGACACCGUUACAGUUUCUGGGCAGGAGGGCAUCAUGGCCGACUGGUCCGGUGACAAUCAUAGACGGAGCCUAGAGGACUUCCUCAAUGACAAAGACGGCAAUCAGAGAGUGGCUGAGAUCGCAGACAGACAGCCUCUUGUACCUGAAGGCAGCGGCAGUUUACGGGGUUUAGACUGCGAUGACUGGCAUCUACAGGAGCACGACCUGGAGAACAUUGAACAGGUCUCGCUGGACUCUUACAAUUCCAACGAGCAGUCCGAUGAUGGUUACCCACAAAUGGGAUUGGAUUUAGACACCAUAGACAGUGGAUUUCUGGAGUCAGACUGUUCAAGCCCGUCGGCUUUUGAUGGGACCGAGCAGAUAGAGACUGAAUCGCUGGAUGGCGUGGGAGGCUCCCAUUCGAAUUAUGUCAAACAGUGGGUGGCUUUUACAGCAGUUCAAGUUGAUACCCACAGCACUGGAAAGUAGCUGAUCAUGGGAGUUUCUAUUACUACAUUGAACUGAAUAAUAAACAGUUGAUGGUGGAAGCGUCUACAUAAUAUCUGAAGACAUCACUGUUUGGACCUAAUUUGCUCACAAUGCGUUUAUGUGAGCAGUUUCUUCUUACACUGAACUGUAUUUGUGGCAUAAUGCCACAAAAUAGACUAAAUGUUAGUCAGUUGUAUGAUUGUUCACAGGACAUUGGUUUACAUUAGGCUGCAGGACAGUAUGUAUGGAUGCAUCUCAAUCUGCAUACUUUCAAUCCUGUGGGUCAGAGUUUGCGCAACUAACAAUCAAUAUCCAUCACUCUAAUUGUAAAUUUUCUGUCAUGCUCUAUUUUUAUCUCAGUAAAAUAUUGUAAUGCUUGGCAUUUUUAAUGCGACAUUGAUAUCACAAGAACUUCUGUGGCAAUGAUAAUGGACAGAAUCCCAUUAAUUAUUCCACUGAGCUUUACUUGGAAUUUCUUGGUUUUUCUCUUUAACUUGUCCCUCUCCUGGUCAGUUUUGCACUUUAAAACUUUAGUAAAAAAGAGUAAAAAAAAAAAUGUUGUAAUUGAAAGUCACAAUUACGAAAUGACAAGAAAUAACGUUCCAGAGUAAAACUAAAUAAAUAAACAGGCAAUUGUGACUUUAUUUGUUGCAAAUAAUCUGCCACGAAUAAAGUUCCAAUUGUCUUUUUUUAUUUACGGUAUAUGAAGUCUAUACUUUACAGAAUUCUAUAAUUAACAUCUCUUUUUCUGGGAAUGUUGUUAAAACAACCUAUAGAAUGCAAGAGUACAAUUAGUGUUUCAAAUCAGCUUGUUGAAAAUAUUAUGCCAAAAACGCCUGGGUGGUUUACUAUCCCAGCUAACAAAAAUAUGUUCCAAGAACAUUUUGCUAACAUUCCCAUUAAGUUAUGAAAACAUCCCUUUUUUUUUUUUUUUUUUUUUUUUCUCGGUUCUCUGACUGUUCAAAAUGACUCAAAUGUUAAAGAAAGAAACAUUUCAUCAUUCUUAAAACAUUAUGUGAAAGUUACUAUUAAAUAUUCUUUGAACAUUCUAAAACAAGUAGUAGCAUUUAAAAAUAUGUUAGAUGAACGUCCAACUAAGACAUUUCAGGAAAAAAGAGUUAUAUGAACAAUGUAUAAAUAAUGAUUUUGUGCUAACAUUUUGAGAACAUUAUUAAAGAGCAGAUAACUUCGAACGGACGUUCUAUUAAUGUUACUGGAAGAGAGUUUGCUCAUAACUUUGAGGGAACCCUGAUAAAACAUUAGCUAAUGUUCUGGGAACAUUCCCUGUUCGCUGGGAUGUCAGGUGAUGUGUCCAAAAACCAUUAAUCUUUUUGAGCUGACAGGGUAUGCAAAUAUUCAAGUUAAAAGUUUAAAAACUGAUCAACCAGUAUUCUUAAUAUUUGGGGGACAUGUAAAUAUAUUUGAAUCUAAGAAGAGUAAUGAACAUGCUAAUGUUCACAUGUUAACAUCAACAGUAGGCUACAUGACAGUGGACUGUGGUGAUUUUAUAAUGUCAAUUUUAUACCUCUCAAUACUGACACAGCAUCUAACUACAUACUCUGCGUCAAGUACAUUUAGCGUGUAUAAUAGAAGUACUAAGGGAAGUGAGGUGCGACCAAUGUCUAGGUACUGGUUAUCUGUUGAGGUAAUACUGAGAAAUUAUGCACUUUGCAACUUUUUUUCAUUAGAAAUAUGUGAGCUGUGCAGUUCUUCAGUUAUUGCACACAAUGUUGGAGUUAUCAGUGUUUGCUGCACAGAGCAAGAUAAGGCAUGAGUCACGGACGGAUCUACAAAAUGCCAGACAGCUGAUAAUACUAUGGGUAUUUCUACAUAUCAGAUCUUUUGAACAAACGAUUAGCUCAGCAGUCAGAAUCUCUUAGUUUUUUUUGUAAAGUGCUUUUUGACCCUUUUAUUUUUUUAUUAAUGCUAGACACAUCUCUUGAUUUUCAUGAAAUGAUUAAAUGCACUUUAUUUUCAUGAUCAUGUUAUUUAUUUCACAUAAUGGAGUAGACACUUUGAUGGCUGGAGGUGAUAGACUUAAUUUGCAACUAGAAUGGAAGGUUUAAAAGCAAACUUUAUGGUCCUUUGGCCUUGACAAACAACAUGACUUAAGGCCUGUUCACACCAAGGACUAUAACGAUAACAUUAAAGAUAUAGUUCUAAAAUCGUUCUAAAUAUAAAAUAAUAGCAGUCACACCACAACUAUAAUGAUAAAGGCCGUUAACACCAAGAAUGAAAACUUUAAAUAUAACGUUAGUGAUAACUAUAUUAGCGGAUGAGAGCGCUGCUGUUUUGUCUUCUGUCGCUUUAAAUGCUCAAACUCGUUAAAGCAGAAUGGAUUCUGAUUGGCUGUCAAUGUUUAUAACGUUCAUCAGCUCAGCUGGGGGAAAAAUCGUUCUGGGGGGCGUUUCCCGUACAACUACGUAACUCGCUGUUACGAGUUUACACAACAAAGUUGUGGAAAAAAAAAUAGCUAGUCACGACUGUUGCACAAAACCGUAUCGUUGCAAACCUGUCGGUGGAGUAGUAACUUCUUUAAAUGAAUCCGUUUGAGAUCAAAUUAUUGCUAUAUUUUUUGCUAUAAAUUAUGGACAUGGCAUGUGAGCACUAAUUCUUAUUUUUCUCAGUUAUUUUUCUUUAUUUCCAGAUUCAGUCUCGUUCUUAUCAGAGCACUAUAGGCACUCUUAAAAAGCGGUGCUUAAAAUGCUUUUGACAAACUAAAAUAUGUAAAUGACAUUUGUAUAUAUUCGAAAUAAAAGAUAUACAUUGUACUUAAUGUCAGUUUGCUUAUUUUGCUCAAGAUAACGAUUUAUUAAGUUCACAUGUCAUAAAAACAAGAAACUAUUCUUCCAACCACACAAGUUUGCGAUGCAGUUUGCAAACUAUGGUUUCGGGAAACACCAAAUCGUUGAACUAUGUUAGUAACGACGGAACUUGCGAUGCUAGUUAGCUAACAAUGCUUUUGGGAAACGCACCCCUGAAAGUGAUUCCAAGGUAUUCACUGUAUCAUUAUCGUUAUAGUUGUGGUGUGGAGUAGGUAUCUUUACAGUUAUCGUUCUUGGUGUGAACAGGCCUUUGGCCUUAUUAUUUUACAAUGAACCUAUUUUAAAAGCGAUAUAGCCAAGUAUUAACAAGUAAGUACACCUUAUGUAAGACACAGAAACUUGUAUAGCAACAUUUGUGGCCUUAUUUUCCGAAUUGUACACGCAGGAGCACUUUAAAAGUUCUCUGCAACAUCUGAAACUGGAAGAUCAAAAGGCACAGUGACAUACAGUAAGAAGCCACAAAUAAAAGUUCAUAUUUGUACCGUUUCAUCUUUAAAGUGACUACGCUAAAUGUCAGCUGCCGUCAUUUAUAGAAUCAGUCAUACAUGGGAAAGUCACAUCAACAUUUUUCUGGCUGGAAAUGUAUAGGCCUAUUAUUAAUUCUGUAAUGUAGUAUAAGUUAAAAGACGAUAAAGAAUUAUUUUAGGGCUAUUCAAAAUGCAUUCAGAUCCUCCCUUUGGUUUAACACUUGUAAACUUUCUAUGUACUUACUGUAUAUCAUAAUGUGAGGAAACUUUUUCUUCGCUACAUUGUUACAUUAUGUUGUUUACAUUGUUGUAUAUACUCUUAAGAAGGUAUGUUCACCUGGACAGUUUAAUUUAAUGUGAGAAUUUAACUGACGUGAUUUCAUAUGUGAAGUUUGGCAUGUGAAAUGAGAACCUUGUGAUGCCAUCUUAAACGACUAAUCAGAGAUUUCAGAUAACUUUGAGGUUAAGACCUCCUACAUAAACAGGAACUACUCUGUAUAUAAAACCAUCUUGAUGCCCUUCACUGCUACAGACGUCAACUAAUAUUUCUCUAAUGCUUCAGAAUAAAUUUGGGUCUUUUGAGUUGCAUGUGCUGAAUUAUGCGUUGAAAUCUGGAAGUGUGUGUACAUACAGUCCUGUACAAGAAUGAUGAACCGCAUUGGAAUGAUCUGCAUUUUCUUGGCUUUUUCAGUGGAACUUAACGCCAGUUCACAGGCUCUGAAAGAAGGGCUCAGCUGUGUGACAGAUUACUGUAAAUCUGUCAGCUGCUCUUUAAAGCUACCAGACACAUCCACUAGAAACAUAUCACACUGGCUGGAAUUUCAAUGGAACAAUCACAUUACAGAUUAUGAUGACUUCAAACACGGGCCGUAUAGAUGCCCACUCCAGAGAGCACGCGAAGAUCACACCUGCACUUUCACUGUAAAUGGAACAAUGACUGAUCUUGAUAAAGUUGCUGUGAAACUUCAUUAUUUGGAAAACGGCAAUAAGAAUUCAUUUCUGUUGAAUGAUGGUUGGAAGCCAACAGAAAACAUUAAACCAAAAGCCCCACUUAAUCUGACAUUACAAUAUACAAAUGGGACGUAUCAUUUCUCUUGGACUAAUGGAUAUGAAGAUGAACGCUAUGGACCUUAUCUACCCUUCACGUACACAUUCCUGUACUACAAAGAUGGAGAUAAUAACAGCGAGGUCAGUGUUCAUCCAGAAAAUAAAAUGAUUCAGAUUGAUGAAAUGAAUCUUGAUCCGGGUACUACAUACACUGCUAUGGUGAGGUCUGGGAUACGUGAACAUCGGACAUACAGAGGAACGUGGAGCGAGUGGAGCAGCGCAGUAAAAUGGAAAACAACAUACAGAGAUAAAUACCGUGGUACCCCAGGGCUCAGCUGUGUGACAGAUUACUGUAAAUCUGUCAGCUGCUCUUUAAAGCUACCAGACACAUCCACUAGAAACAUAUCACACUGGCUGGAAUUUCAAUGGAACAAUCACAUUACAGAUUAUGAUGACUUCAAACACGGGCCGUAUAGAUGCCCACUCCAGAGAGCACGCGAAGAUCACACCUGCACUUUCACUGUAAAUGGAACAAUGACUGAUCUUGAUAAAGUUGCUGUGAAACUUCAUUAUUUGGAAAACGGCAAUAAGAAUUCAUUUCUGUUGAAUGAUGGUUGGAAGCCAACAGAAAACAUUAAGCCAAAAGCCCCACUUAAUCUGACAUUACAAUAUACAAAUGGGACGUAUCAUUUCUCUUGGACUAAUGGAUAUGAAGAUGAACGCUAUGGACCUUAUCUACCCUUCAUGUACAAAUUCCUGUACUACAAAGAUGGAGAUAAUGACAGCGAGGACAGUGUUCAUCCAGACAAAACGAUUCAGAUUGAUGAAAAGGAGCUUGAUCCGGGCACUACAUACACUGCUAUGGUGAGGUCUGGGAUACGUGAACAUCGGACAUACAGAGGAACGUGGAGCGAGUGGAGCAGCGCAGUAAAAUGGAAAACAACAUACAGAGAUAAAUACCGUGGUACCCCAGAAGGGCUCAGCUGUGUGACAGAUUACUGCAAAUCUGUCAGCUGCUCUUUAAAGCUACCAGACACAUCCACUAGAAACAUAUCACACUGGCUGGAAUUUCAAUGGAACAAUCACAUUACAGAUUAUGAUGACUUCAAACACGGGCCGUAUAGAUGCCCACUCCAGAGAGCACGCGAAGAUCACACCUGCACUUUCACUGUAAAUGGAACAAUGACUGAUCUUGAUAAUGCUACUGUGAAACUUCAUUAUUUGGAAAACGGCAAUAAGAAUUCGUCUCUGUUGAAUGAUGGUUGGAAGCCAGCAGAAAACAUUAAACCAAAAGCCCCACUUAAUCUGACAUUACAAUAUACAAAUGGGACGUAUCAUUUCUCUUGGACUAAUGGAUAUGAAGAUGAACGCUAUGGACCUUAUCUACCCUUCAUGUACAAAUUCCUGUACUACAAAGAUGGAGAUAAUAACAGCGAGGACAGUGUUCAUCCAGACAAUAAAACGAUUCAGAUUGAUGAAAAGGAGCUUGAUCCGGGCACUACAUACACUGCUAUGGUGAGGUCUGGGAUACGUGAACAUCGGACAUACAGAGGAACGUGGAGCGAGUGGAGCAGCGCAGUAAAAUGGAAAACAACAUACAGAGAUAAAUACCGUGGUAUCCCAGGGCUCAGCUGUGUGACAGAUUACUGUAAAUCUGUCAGCUGCUCUUUAAAGCUACCAGACACAUCCACUAGAAACAUAUCACACUGGCUGGAAUUUCAAUGGAACAAUCACAUUACAGAUUAUGAUGACUUAAAACACGGGCCGUAUAGAUGCCCACUCCAGAGAGCACGCGAAGAUCACACCUGCACUUUCACUGUAAAUGGAAUAAUAACUGAUCUUGAUAAAGUUGCUGUGAAACUUCAUUAUUUGGAAAACGGCACUAAGAAUUCAUUUCUGUUGAAUGAUGGUUGGAAGCCAGCAGAAAACAUUAAACCAAAAGCCCCACUUAAUCUGAUAUUACAAUAUACAAAUGGGACGUAUCAUUUCUCUUGGACUAAUGGAUAUGAAGAUGAACGCUAUGGACCUUAUCUACCCUUCACGUACACAUUCCUGUACUACAAAGAUGGAGAUAAUAACAGCGAGGACAGUGUUCAUCCAGAAAAUAAAAUGAUUCAGAUUGAUGAAAUGAAUCUUGAUCCGGGCACUACAUACACUGCUAUGGUGAGGUCUGGGAUACGUGAACAUCGGACAUACAAAGGAACGUGGAGCGAGUGGAGCGGCGCAGUAAAAUGGAAAACAACAUACAGAGAUAAAUACCGUGGUACCCCAGAAGAUGAGCCCAAUCAAGUUGGCAAGAUUGUCAUUGUAAUGUUGGUUGGACUUUUAAUUCUGCUCAUAUUUGUUCCUGCUGCAAGAUUUAAGAUGAAAGAAAUUUCAUGGGUGCCGACACCAGCAACAUAUUUCCAGCCCCUUUAUCAAAAUUACCAGGGCAAUUUUCAGUGUUGGGUUUUGGCAAAAAGUCCUUUACAAGACUUUCAUGUUUUGGAAGACUUUUCAACAAUCGACAAGAUUUCCGAGGUCAUGAUGACUACACUACAGGAUGAGGAAGAGAAAACGGGCAUGUAUCCCGCUGCACAAUGCCAUCAACCCUAUGUGGGCCCCACAGCUGAGGUCUGGGUCCCACGCCAAAUGCCCGAUACGUGCAGUGAGACGAGUAUCCCGUGUGAGGAAUUUUCUUUGCUCUGUGAAGAGUUGCCAGAUAAAGUGCAUGACAUCAUGCAGUCUCUCGGUGUGGCGUGUCUGAGUGGGGAUGUUCUGUCUCUGAAGGACUCUGCUCUUAGUCUUGAGAGUCUUGAGGACUGUGAGGAAUCUGAAGCACCAGUUAUCAUUAACCCAGUGCCUGUGUGUUCCAAACAAGACUACUGCACUCUUACCAACACUCCCACAGGCCCUGUCUUCACCUUCACCAGAGAUAUAGAGCUGGACGAAAACACCUUUAGUGAUUAAAUGCAUGAAGACACCUGCAGUAGACACGUGGACAUUAUGAACUGACAUAAAUCAUUUAUUCACAUUUUGAUUGUGUAAAAUGUAUGUUGUAGAACAAAAUGUGAAGGUCUUUUCAAAUAAUGUUAACAAGGAAUUCUUAUUCUUCACUGAAACAAGUUGUCUAGGCUACAAGGUGUUAAAAUAGCCAUUAUACUCCCUCCACUAAUGCUGACAGUUCAAAUGAGGUUUGACGAUUCGUGUGCAGCGAUUUGAUUCUGUUUUUCAUCAAGUAAUAUCAUUAUAUUUCUAUUUGUGAUAUUUGUACCUAGAAGAAAAUUAAAAUAGUGUGUAUUUUAUGUGGAAAAACUUAGAACCUAGAAGAAUAGCAGAUGUUAUUUAGCAGUUUACACAGGAAUCCAGUCUAAUUCAAGAAAAAAAAAAAGAAAAGAAAAAAAAAAAACUGUUUUAUUUCAAUUGUAUGUAAAUAGACACCUGUUUUUACAUUUUGCAUAUCAAAGAAUCACAAUAUGUAAAGAGUGUGAAUGAAUUUUGUAUGAUUUAUCAUUGAAUCUGCAUUAUGAAUUCAGAAUCAGAAAGAGCUUUAUUGCCAGGUAUUUUUACACAGACGAGGAAUUUGUUUUGGUGAAAGAAGCUUCACAGAAUGACAGUGACAAGACACAAAUAAUAAAAAGAAUAAAAUAAGUACAGAGGAAAUAACAAUAUACACACAAAAAAAAAAAAAAGCAAUAUACAAAACAAUAGAUGGUACAUAUACAGGUAUGUACAAAUGCAAGGAAAUGUAAAUAAGAAGUGUGGUGUGUUAAAUAAAUGUAUAAAUAGUGUUGUGUAUUGCA